GGCCUAGGUCCUCAGGGGUGUGGGGAGCUGGGUUUACAGAGGGGCCCAUCCUCUCUGCCCCAGUUGGCCUCUGACUUCUUCUCCCAUCAGAUCUCAGAGCUGCAGCCUUCUCUGCCCCCAGGGUCCCUGCAGCCCCUCCUCAGCUGCUCGCUAGAUGCACCCAGAUGGGAAGCGUUGGAGUCUCUGUCCCAAAGCCUCAGAGAUCAGUACCGCUGCCGCCGCUGCCUCCUCCUCAAGCGCCUUGACCUCACUACAUCUGCUUUCCACUGGAGUGACCGGGCAGAGGUGUGGUGGGCAGGGGACCGUGCAGAAUUGGAGAGGCCCAGUUGUGGGGGCUGCAGUUGCAGGGAGGAGGAAUGAGGGCCAGGAGUAUCACCCUCUUGCAGGUUCUCAGGCCGUGGACAUUUUAUAAUUUUUUGAGGUUUGGGGCUCCUAGAAUCUCAGGGUCCCAGGGUAUUGUUGAAUUCCCAGCUCUGAGCUGGGAGUAUAUUCAGAGGCAUACCCCAUCAUUUUUUUUUUUUGAGAUGGGGUCUCGCUCUGUUGCCAGGCUGGAG
RNAcentral lists this small RNA (554 nucleotides) under Pan troglodytes (chimpanzee). RNAcentral's name for it is "retained intron". Lineage: Eukaryota; Metazoa; Chordata; Mammalia; Primates; Hominidae. The record is from RNAcentral.